Molecule: long non-coding RNA, 1406 nt
Organism: Trachemys scripta elegans
Lineage: Eukaryota; Metazoa; Chordata; Testudines; Emydidae
Exons: 3
Source: RefSeq, a predicted model, not a curated record
CCUUACUUCUUCCUCUGCGGUAGGACACUGUCCCAUGCCGCUCAGCGAUAACUUUUGUAGGCAUCAUUGCAGUGCACAGGCUACCAGCAUGCGGGCCCCCCCCAGCUUCAGGACAGCAGCAGCAGCUAGGCUCUCUGGGCCCUUGUCUCCCUCAAGAGUGAGAUACCAGCUAAAAUCACCACUGCCUGUGGAAAAUGGUGCCAGUAUUCAGUGCCACGGCCUGUAUGGUUCAUAGUUUCAUGCAACUGAGCAAUUUCCCUAGCCUCUGGCAGGCCUGGUGCCGUGAGUGGUGCCGUGCACAAGCAUUCCAAAGCAGAAGUGUCAAUCGGCAGGUCUUGUGUAAAACUUUAAGGGAGCAAGGGAUGGAAGUUCUGAAUCUUAACUUUUGCUUCCUGUUGUGACUCUACUGACAACUCUACUCUGUGUGUUUUAUCUGAGGCUGCUGCCACUGUGGCCUUGAGGGGUUCCCCCUCCACACCCGUGGAACGCCUGAGCCAAAUGAGGAGGAGAAAGAGGAGGACUCAGGAUGACAUGUUCAGUGAGAUCCUGCAAGCCAGUGCUGCAUCAGAUUGUGAGCACAAAGCCUGGGGAUCAAUAUUGCAGACAGCCUGGUGAAGAAAAGAGCAGACAGGAGAAGGAGUCCCAGCAGCAAAAGGAGAGGGAGAUGUACCAAGACAUAAUGGGGCUUCUCUAGCAGCAAACACAGAUGCUGCACACGCUUGUGAAUCUACAGGUUCAACAAUCACAGACUCGCCUCCCUUUGCAGUCCAUGGAGAACUCCAUUAUGGCAUCUCCCUACCCGCCUCUCAACAUUACACAUGGCAUCAGGGGCUGCAUCUCUAUUCCUAUCACUCCACCCUGGUGGACACUGAGGACAACCACAGCUUCACAUACAGCAACCAUGACACUCACAGAGUACUCCAAUACUGAUCUCACACCACAUAGGACGAGCCAUGACAAGAAACAGAUGUCAGUCAUUCAACAGGACAGAAUAACCAUUUGGACAUGGCUUUUCCACUUGGGAUACUCCUCUGGCAUGGGACAUUCCUCUUCAUAAAUGCUCUGCUGCCAGAAGACCAGGCAGAUACUGAGAGACUUCACCAUAAACUGGAAUGGGAUCAUGCACCCUGUGAUGGAGUUAAAGAGUCUCCAUCACAGUGCCCUGAGAUUUCCAGCUACCAAAAGAUUUGGAAAGAUCAAGUAAGAACAGGAAAAGAGACAGCAUCUUGCUGGGUGCUGAUAAGUACUUGCUUAGAAACAAAUGCUGAAUAAUUUGGUCCUAUAACCAGCUUUCUGGACCUUGCUAGUUUGUGCUUGAGACCCUGAUGUUCACAUAUUGUGUCCUCCCAUUUAGAACUUAUAAUAUCCUCAAGAAAAUGAAACUCAGGUGAUACAGAUGUUCCAAG